Non-coding RNA from Myotis lucifugus (little brown bat), 657 nucleotides. The record is from the annotation of a RefSeq genome assembly. Lineage: Eukaryota; Metazoa; Chordata; Mammalia; Chiroptera; Vespertilionidae.
AUGGACUGGGUGCCAAGCUGCGUUUUCCUCCUGAUCAUGUUUCAAGGUGUCCAGUGUGAGGUGCAGCUGGUGGAGUCUGGGGGAGGCUUGGUGCCGCCUGGGGGGUCUCUGAGACUCUCCUGUGCAGCCUCUGGAUUCACCUUCAGUAGCUACUGGAAUACCUGGGUCCGCCAGGCUCCAGGGAAGGGACUGGAGUGGGUCUCAUAUAUUAAUGGUGAUGGAAGUACCACAUCCUACGCAGACUCUGUGAAGGGCCGAUUCACCAUCUCCAGAGACAAUGCCAAGAACACGCUAUAUCUGCAGAUGAACAGCCUGAGAGCCCAGGACACAGCUGUGUAUUACUGUACCAGAGAUGAAAAGUAUCAGGAUUUUGUCUCUCAGCUAUUACAGGCUGUUGGCCAAGUAGUGGUGGAUGGAGAGGCUGGCAUGUUAAUAGUUAAACAGUUGGCAUAUGAAAACGCCAACACUGCCUGUCAAGCUGCACUGUGGCCCUAUCAAAGAAAGGGGACUCUCUCAGAUUAUAUCCGCAUUUGCGCAGAUAUUGGUGUCCUGUCCCAGGUGCAGUUUCAGGAUCCAGGCCCAGGACUGGUGAAACCCUCACAGACCCUCUCCCUCACCUGUGUGGUCUAUGGAUUCUCCAUCACAACCAGUGAUUAA